This 502-nucleotide ribosomal RNA is filed under the name uncultured bacterium. RNAcentral's name for it is "partial 16S ribosomal RNA". It matches the Rfam family "Bacterial small subunit ribosomal RNA", at positions 30 to 523 of the family's 1533-position model. The record is from RNAcentral.
AUUGAACGCUGGCGGCAGGCUUAACACAUGCAAGUCGAGCGGGGUGAUGGUGCUUGCACUAUCACUUAGCGGCGGACGGGUGAGUAAUGCUUAGGAAUCUGCCUAUUAGUGGGGGACAACAUCUCGAAAGGGAUGCUAAUACCGCAUACGUCCUACGGGAGAAAGCAGGGGAUCACUUGUGACCUUGCGCUAAUAGAUGAGCCUAAGGCGGAUUAGCUAGUUGGUGGGGUAAAGGCCUGCCAAGGCGACGAUCUGUAGCGGGUCGGAGAGGGUGCUCCGCCACACUAGACUGGGAAACGGCCCAGACUCCUACGGGAGGCAGCAGUGGGGAAUAUUGGACAAUGGGGGGAACCCUGAUCCAGCCAUGCCGCGUGUGUGAAGAAGGCCUUAUGGUUGUAAAGCACUUUAAGCGAGGAGGAGGCUCUUUUGGUUAAUACCCAAGAUGAGUGGACGUUACUCGCAGAAUAAGCACCGGCUAACUCUGUGCCAGCCGCCGCGGUAA